CAAUACCUAGUGGCAGACGGGUGAGUAACACGUGGUCAACCUACCUUCGAGUGGGGGAUAACUAGCCGAAAGGUUAGCUAAUACCGCAUAAAACGUACCGGGGCAUCCCGAAACGUUAAAAGGAGCAAUCCGCUUGAAGACGGGACCGCGUCCCAUUAGCUAGUUGGUGGGGUAACGGCCUACCAAGGCUCCGAUGGGUAGCUGGUUUGAGAGAGCGACCAGCCACACUGGGACUGAGAAACGGCCCAG
Molecule: ribosomal RNA, 249 nt
Filed under: uncultured bacterium
Lineage: Bacteria
Description: partial 16S ribosomal RNA
Rfam family: Bacterial small subunit ribosomal RNA
Source: RNAcentral